Molecule: non-coding RNA, 1152 nt
Organism: Rattus norvegicus (Norway rat)
Lineage: Eukaryota; Metazoa; Chordata; Mammalia; Rodentia; Muridae
Source: RefSeq, a predicted model, not a curated record
UUAGCAAGCCCAUGCUGAUGCAACCCCCUGAGGUACCACACUCUUGUAAAAAAUGAAAAAGGGUGGAACAGUUCCCUCGAAUGCUCUCUGGUGGUUGAACUCUCCCUGUUCUGGCUCCAGCAGGUCUUUGGAAUUCUCGCUAAUUUAUCUCAGCGGCUCCACAGUGUCUCCAAGUAGUUUUUGACCAAGUACCGGAAGUACUUGCUGUCUGAGACCCAUUCCAGCUCAGCACCAUAUCCAGCCGACCCGCCCUCACUCACAGCUCUGUUGGCUGGUUGCCACCACGCCAGCCCUUAAGAAUAGUCAUGGCAACCUGUGACUAUGCACAGAGAAGAGUCUUAACGCCUACCGCCAUGUUCUCUCAGCUCCUGCUUCUCGAUCCCACUUCCUCUUGUCUUCUCCCUCCCUUCUAAAACUUCUGUUCCCGCCUUCCUCCCUUCUCACCCAAUGACAGGCCUCGUUUUAUCUUGUCUGCCUUCAACUGCAUAAUGACAUCAACCUACACCAUACGACGGGUCUAGUAUAAAAUGAAGUUUAUUUGGGAGCAUGGCAUGAGAAUGGGGGAGCAGUUUCCUGAAAUCGGCAAUGUUGACCUCAAGUCCUGCAGAAUUCAUAACACCUCAUCACAUGGAGAAGAAAGGGGAUGAGGAGGGCAAUUUCCACCUGGAAGAAGAGCAAACGUAUUCAGUGUUAAGAGUACAGGAUGACUUCAGCGGAGUAUGAUCUCUGGGGUUCAGUAGCAGAAUUAAGGCUCUACUCUGAGAUAUUCAAGAAACUGGAUGAGAACUCAGCGGAGUAGCACUCUGAAGUUUUAAGUGGCCUCAGGUUAGGUCAUUAACUGUGGCUGUAAGGUCCAGCAAAGGUUUCAGCCUCAGAGUGUAAGAGGUGCUUUCGUCACAGCGCAUCGCUAUAUCCCCUUCCCGAUGGGACGACGGACAUUAGAGCUGGCAGCACCUGACUCUCACGUCGUACAUUCAGAAAACGAAGACUUCAAAUGUUUGAGUGCUUGCGUAUUCCGCAUCAGACUUCAUCAGGUCAAGCCCUGGAGCUGUAUGGAAGAAGCAUGGUGGCCCGUGACGGUCAGCCCUCUUGACACUUGGUUAUAGGUGUGCGCUGCUUGAGCCACUCGGGUGUAAAUGUUACGUAAAACCC